Molecule: ribosomal RNA, 1282 nt
Filed under: uncultured bacterium
Lineage: Bacteria
Description: bacterial SSU rRNA
Rfam family: Bacterial small subunit ribosomal RNA
Source: RNAcentral
CCACCGAGUGCUUGCACUCACCGAUAAAGAGUUGAGUGGCGAACGGGUGAGUAACACGUGGGCAACCUGCCCAAAAGAGGGGGAUAACACUUGGAAACAGGUGCUAAUACCGCAUAACCAUAGUUACCGCAUGGUAACUAUGUAAAAGGUGGCUCUGCUACCGCUUUUGGAUGGGCCCGCGGCGCAUUAGCUAGUUGGUGGGGUAAAGGCUUACCAAGGCAAUGAUGCGUAGCCGAACUGAGAGGUUGAUCGGCCACAUUGGGACUGAGACACGGCCCAAACUCCUACGGGAGGCAGCAGUAGGGAAUCUUCCACAAUGGGCGAAAGCCUGAUGGAGCAACGCCGCGUGGGUGAAGAAGGUCUUCGGAUCGUAAAACCCUGUUGUUAGAGAAGAAAGUGCGUGAGAGUAACUGUUCACGUUUCGACGGUAUCUAACCAGAAAGCCACGGCUAACUACGUGCCAGCAGCCGCGGUAAUACGUAGGUGGCAAGCGUUAUCCGGAUUUAUUGGGCGUAAAGGGAACGCAGGCGGUCUUUUAAAUCUGAUGUGAAAGCCUUCGGCUUAACCGGAGUAGUGCAUUGGAAACUGGGAGACUUGAGUGCAGAAGAGGAGAGUGGAACUCCCUGUGUAGCGGUGAAAUGCGUAAAUAUAUGGAAGAACACCAGUGGCGAAAGCGGCUCUCUGGUCUGUAACUGACGUGAGGUUAAAAAGCGUGGGUAGCAAAACAGGAAUAGAUACCCUGGUAGUCCACGCCGUAAACGAUGAAAUGCUAAGUGUUGGAGGGUUUCCGCCCUUCAGUGCUGCAGCUAACGCAAUAAGCAUUCCGCCUGGGGAGUACGACCGCAAGGUUGAAACUCAAAGGAAUUGACGGGGGCCCGCACAAGCGGUGGAGCAUGUGGUUUAAUUUGAAGCAACGCGAAGAACCUUACCAGGUCUUGACAUCUUUUGACAAUCCUAGAGAUAGGACUUUCCCUUCGGGGACAAAAUGACAGGUGGUGCAUGGUUGUCGUCAGCUCGUGUCGUGAGAUGUUGGGUUAAGUCCCGCAACGAGCGCAACCCUUAUUGUUAGUUGCCAGCAUUAAGUUGGGCACUCUAGCAAGACUGCCGGUGACAAACCGGAGGAAGGUGGGGAUGACGUCAAAUCAUCAUGCCCCUUAUGACCUGGGCUACACACGUGCUACAAUGGACGGUACAACGAGUCGCAAGACCGCGAGGUUUAGCAAAUCUCUUAAAGCCGUUCUCAGUUCGGAUUGUAGGCUGCAACUCGCCUACAUGAAGUCGG